This 76-nucleotide transfer RNA is filed under the name Oscillospiraceae bacterium. RNAcentral's name for it is "tRNA-Asn". It matches the Rfam family "tRNA". Rfam says of the family: Transfer RNA (tRNA) molecules are approximately 80 nucleotides in length. Their secondary structure includes four short double-helical elements and three loops (D, anti-codon, and T loops). The record is from RNAcentral. Lineage: Bacteria; Bacillati; Bacillota; Clostridia; Eubacteriales; Oscillospiraceae.
UCCUCUUUAGCUCAGUCGGUAGAGCGACGGACUGUUAAUCCGCAGGUCGUUGGUUCAAGUCCAACAAGGGGAGCCA